CGGAAACCACAUGGUUCUGAUAUCAAAGAUUUUAUCGCUUGAAGAUGGACUCGCGUCCGAUUAGUUAGUUGGUGAGGUAACGGCUCACCAAGACCGCGAUCGGUAGCCGGACUGAGAGGUUGAACGGCCACAUUGGGACUGAGACACGGCCCAGACUCCUACGGGAGGCAGCAGUGGGGGAUAUUGCGCAAUGGGGGCAACCCUGACGCAGCAACGCCGCGUGAAGGAUGAAGGUUUUCGGAUUGUAAACUUCUUUUAUUAAGGACGAAAAAUGACGGUACUUAAUGAAUAAGCUCCGGCUAACUACGUGCCAGCAGCCGCGGUAAUACGUAGGGAGCAAGCGUUGUCCGGAUUUACUGGGUGUAAAGGGUGCGUAGGCGGCUUUGCAAGUCAGAUGUGAAAUCUAUGGGCUCAACCCAUAAACUGCAUUUGAAACUGUAGAGCUUGAGUGAAGUAGAGGCAAGCGGAAUUCCCCGUGUAGCGGUGAAAUGCGUAGAGAUGGGGAGGAACACCAGUGGCGAAGGCGGCCUGCUGGGCUUUAACUGACGCUGAGGCACGAAAGCGUGGGUAGCAAACAGGAUUAGAUACCCUGGUAGUCCACGCUGUAAACGAUGAUUACUAGGUGUGGGGGGUGUGACCCCUUCCGUGCCGGAGUUAACACAAUAAGUAAUCCACCUGGGGAGUACGGCCGCAAGGUUGAAACUCAAAGGAAUUGACGGGGGCCCGCACAAGCAGUGGAGUACGUGGUUUAAUUUGAAGCAACGCGAAGAACCUUACCAGGUCUUGACAUCCAACUAACGAAGUAGAGAUACAUUAGGUGCCCUUCGGGGAAAGUUGAGACAGGUGGUGCAUGGUUGUCGUCAGCUCGUGUCGUGAGAUGUUGGGUUAAGUCCCGCAACGAGCGCAACCCUUGCAAUUAGUUGCUACGCAAGAGCACUCUAAUAGGACUGCCGUUGACAAAACGGAGGAAGGUGGGGAGGACGUCAAAUCAUCAUGCCCCUUAUGACCUGGGCUACACACGUACUACAAUGGAUGUUAACAGAGGGAAGCAAGACAGCGAUGUGGAGCAAACCCCUAAAAACAUUCUCAGUUCAGAUUGCAGGCUGCAACCCGCCUGCAUGAAGAUGGAAUUGCUAGUAAUCGCGGAUCAGCAUGCCGCGGUGAAUAAAGGGCCGGGCCUUGCACA
Molecule: ribosomal RNA, 1186 nt
Filed under: uncultured bacterium
Lineage: Bacteria
Description: bacterial SSU rRNA
Rfam family: Bacterial small subunit ribosomal RNA
Source: RNAcentral